ACAUAUGGAUUUUAUUUCAUUCCCACAACUCACAAUUAUACUUCACAUUGUCUAUGCAUCAUAUACUUAGAUAUUGAUUACAAAGCAACUAAAUUAAUGGCUAUAUUUUUUAAUUAUGCAGGUGUGUAAUUGGCUCUUCGCAUUUAUUAUGUAAAUGUUGGUAAUUAUGUCUUCUCUGCAUGUAUGUAUGUUAGUAAUUAUACAGGCGUGUUCAAUUGUUUUUGAAUCUGAAUCAAAUCUUUUCAGCUGAAUGAGUCGGCUAGGAUAGACUUGGAUAUGGCGAAAGCGGUUGAAGAGGGGCAUGCCAUUGAAGGGAGGGGAUGAGAUUGGAAUUGCUAUGACCCCUUGGAUCCAAAUGGUAAUGUGACAGCUACCUUCGACAUUCUCCAAUGGACGGUUGAUGGCUGCGUGCUGUUUUACAUUAAAAAUUGGUAAGUGUAUGUGCAUCAUGGGUGUGUUCCAUGGAGACUUGGACAGAUCAGCAGGAGUACAAGUUGCUAGUAGUGCUACUACAUCAAAGAGAAGACGAAAUGACCUUAAUGACAAUGACUAUGAUGCAGCAGAAAGACCCAGUGGAAGUCCUGGAAUUGAUGAUCAAGAGGACCUCCUCCACCUCAACAGCAAAAGGCUUAGGUAAGUAUCUCGUAUAACUCAGUUACAGUUUACUCCAAAUAAAAAUGUCAUCAACUCACACUCACACUCCCACUCCCACUGCAAAUUAGAAAAUAAAAUUAGAAUAGACAUAACUCAUUUCAAAUGAGUCAAAAUUGGUCUAAUUUCAAAUGUACUGUCUAAUUCAUUUACACAAUAGUAGUAAACUGUACUUGUGGUUUUCUAAAAUAUGUGCACUCCCUAUCACCUCUUUCUUCAGUUUUUAGUUUUAUCUCUUUGGUCCCUAAGCAUAUAAUAUAUAUGAUGAAGAUGAAGCAUGGUCUUAUAGUGUUUAGCAGUGAAACUAAUAAAAUUGAAAUUUGGGAUCAAAAUGACACAUAAUGCAUACUUUAGGGAAAAUUUCUGUAUUUUAUAAUUAUUCGGUUAAUUAUUUAGAGGACCGUUUGAAAUUAGACCAAUUUGACUUGGAUUGAAAAUUUUAUAAAUGAAAUUGGCAAAAUUGAA
Molecule: non-coding RNA, 1116 nt
Organism: Camellia sinensis
Lineage: Eukaryota; Viridiplantae; Streptophyta; Magnoliopsida; Ericales; Theaceae
Source: RefSeq, a predicted model, not a curated record